CGGUUGAAAGGAAUGUUUAAAUUUAUCAAUAAAUGAAUUGCCUGACUUUAAGUUUUAUCGAAAUACACAAGCAAACUUGUUUGUUUUCGGCAUAAAUCCGUGUUGGCCACACAGCAUCCACAACAGCAACAGCAACAGCAGCUAGUCCUUGUGGUAAAAUAAAUUUUCUGCAAUUCAUGGCAGCAGCAGCAGUAGCAGCAGCAGCAGCAGCAGCAGUAGCGGCAACUGAGUUCUCAGGUGUGGGCGUGCCGGAAAUACGUGCCAAGACACGAAACUUUUGCGAAAAGGAUUAGGGCAGGCGUGCGGAUGGCGCUCCCCCACAGCCGAAUAAUACUCCAAGGACUUAAAAGGCAAUCAAAUUAAAUUGUUUUUGCGGUUAACCACAAAAGUUCUUCGGCUCAGAUCAGAAAUGCGAAAGAACCACAAAAUACAUAAACCAGUCCGUAAAUCCGUAAGUCCGGCCGUCCAUCUGUCUGUCCGUCCGUCCGUCUGGCAAUAAUUUGAAUUUUAUAUACAUUUUAUUAAAAUGUAUGUUUGCUCUCUCGUAUCUUCUGUAUGAUAAACGAGCAGUCAGCUGCCUGGCAUAAAUGUCAAUUAAAUUUAUUUAUCUGCAGCGCAAAUCAAGCGAAAUUCUUUAGCCGUUGACGCAGCCACAGCACCAACCCAACUCAAUACACCCAAAGCACCUAUAAAUACUUACCUGAACAUUUGUUUACGUACCCAGCCCAAUUAGACGUAAACAAGAGCCGCCGGAAGUAGGCCACGUAAAAAAAAAAAAAACACAUCGAAUCCACAUUAACAACAACAUCUACAUCCACGUCCACAUCAACAGCAACAGCAGCGAAUGAAGCUGGCAAUAAAUACUAAAGUGGCAUGAUGGAAACCAACUUGUCCAUCAAGCACUUAUAACGGAAAAUGUUUAAAUAAAUAAAUUCGAGGUGUCAAUUGAAAUCUCCUUGAGGGUCACUUUGGGACAGACUGUUGCUGCCCGUGGCUAUAGCCUGCUGUUGCAUUUACUGGCCACUGUGAUUGCGCAUCUUUGUCAUUGUGCCACUUUGACACAAGUUCAAGCGACAAGGCCGACGAGACUCAUAAAUUUGUAGCGCUUCGGGCCACGUUAACAUUGAUUUCUGGCUGUCAACGCGCUGCAAAAGGCCAAAUGCCACUAAUUUUAAUAAUAAAGCAGCAGCCAGCGACAUCACUGACACAUAUAUAUAUAUAUAUAUAGAUCUAUAUAAAUACAUAUAUAUUUUUUUUAUAUACAAAGCUAUUAUGUGCGUGAACUGUCGUAAAAUGCGGCGCCAACCAGACCAACAACAAAAGUCGAGCACAGCUGCAGUCAACGACUCGGCGACGACCUUAGAGAGCAACGAAUGAAAUAUUUAUAUAAGAUGUAUGUGUGUUUCUCUGUGUGUGUGUGUGUACAUUUCCAUAUAGCAUAAAAUUCAGGCGAAAAUAUGUUUGUGGAAAUUAAAUAAUUUAUAUUGCCAUUUGUCUGCAUACUUUGCAUAUUUCCCAUUAAUGACCCAGAAAAAAUAAUUGCGGCUAAGACAACAGCCCGAAAAGCACACGCUGAGAUGAAAGGCGAACAGAAUGAAUUAGAGUAGAUGGCCAACAUGGAAGACGCCAUGUGGUUAGAGAAAGAGUCUCACUAAUAUUGUGUCUAUCUGUGCGUGUGGGUGUGUGUGAGUAUUUCAAGGCCAGCGAGAGAUAAUUGCAGAAGAGACUGAUACAGAUAUAGAAACUAAGGAAAACAAAAUAAUUACAAUAAUUAAAUAGUAUAAUAUUUUUAGCGGGUUGCGGCCAAUCAGCCCGGCUAGCUCAGUCGGUAGAGCAUGAGACUCUUAAUCUCAGGGUCGUGGGUUCGAGCCCCACGUUGGGCGCAGUAUUACUUUUUGCUGAUUGGAAAAUUAGAGUACUUCAAAAGUUUGCUGAGCAUACAGUUUGAUGUGUAGAUAACAGAAAACCGAAAAUACUAAUUGCAUAAUGAUUUAAUAGGUGACUUUAA
Drosophila mojavensis is the source of this 2008-nucleotide long non-coding RNA. RefSeq lists it as uncharacterized. The record is from RefSeq and is a predicted model, not a curated record. The transcript is spliced from 3 exons. NCBI's taxonomy places the organism in Eukaryota, Metazoa, Arthropoda, Insecta, Diptera, Drosophilidae.